RNAcentral lists this ribosomal RNA (255 nucleotides) under uncultured bacterium. Its description in RNAcentral is "partial 16S ribosomal RNA". It matches the Rfam family "Bacterial small subunit ribosomal RNA", at positions 524 to 776 of the family's 1533-position model. The record is from RNAcentral.
UACGAAGGGGGCUAGCGUUGCUCGGAAUCACUGGGCGUAAAGGGUGCGUAGGCGGGUCUUUUAAGUCAGGGGUGAAAUCCUGGAGCUCAACUCCAGAACUGCCCUUUGAUACUGAGGAUCUUGAGUUCGGGAGAGGUGAGUGGAACUGCGAGUGUAGAGGUGAAAUUCGUAGAUAUUCGCAAGAACACCAGUGGCGAAGGCGGCUCACUGGCCCGAUACUGACGCUGAGGCACGAAAGCGUGGGGAGCAAACAGG